UCACUUUGCGAACGGGGAGGAAGUCCUAUCUCUCUCUCUCUCUCUCUCUCUCUCUCUCUCUCUCUCUCUCGCCUCGCGCUCUCCUCUCUCUUCUCUCCCCUCUGCUCUCCCUUGUCUUCCCUCCCCCACACCCCCUCUUCCUCUCUUCGCCUAGUCCUGCUUUUCGCAUCACACACUAUAUAAAUAUACGCGGAGAUGCCCAGAUACAUUCAUGCACUACGCACACAGGAUACUUGCUCCUGGGAGAUAAGAGCUAGCUGGGAACAAUGACGGGGUCCACGCCCAGCGUCCGCGCCCUGAUUCCCCGCAGUCUGCAACCAGCCCCCAUCACCUUCCCCCCAAAUCCAAAACCAUACGCCUUUGGCUUCUUUCCUUUUCCUGGGGCCGUUGGCCGAAGGUGGCCCUCCUGACUCAUUCACUUUCCGUUUCUUCCCACAGAUAGGUUCAUUAAUGCUUUUUCCAGCCGGAGUCAAACUUUUUGGGAAUGGGAGGACCGCGGGAGAGUUUACUAGGGCAGGCAGAACCUGGCGCUUACUCCUGAGAAGAUUCGGACGCAGACCGAGGCAAACCAACCAUUGGAAAGUGCAUCCAAUGAGAAUUUUCCCAUUCGGGCCCUCUGAUGCUGACAUGAGGCGGACUCCCGCAGAAGCUCACCCACUUAUCCACGCGGAUUCGGGGCGAUUUCAGGCUGACCUGAGCCGUCAGGGGCGCAACUCGAUUCCGGGUGCAUUGUUAGGAAAGGGGCACCCUUCUGGCGGCGCGCCUCGACUCUCGGCUCCCGGCGUCCGCGAAGGACUGGGACCCGCGGCACCCUAAGUCAAUCUACCCCGUCUUCUUGGGUUAAUCCCUUCGCGUUUAACGGGACCCGACGGCCCAAGCCUCGGCAACCAAGCCAGAGUCCUUCUUGCAAUUCUACCAUGGCCCCCAAGAAACUGACACUACGGCGGAUGUUCCCUCCACGCUGGUCAGCAGGUCCCCGGAGCGCAGCACGCAACAGCGCCACAUAGACCCAGACUUCUCCCGGAAUGAGACAAGGGGGCCAGCGCUCCAGGCUGUCAUCCCCAUCCAGCCGGGAGACCAGCCUCUCCUCGACCCACUUGUCCGGCCAGGCUCACCCAGAGACCUCCCAGUUCCCCUGCUGGGCCGCCGCGCUCUCUAGUUAGGGCAGCCUUCAGUGGUCCGGGCGUUCUCGGCCUGAUUCCCUCUCCCCAAUCUCCAAAACAGGUUACCUUGUCCACGCUCUGCAGACCACGCUUGUGACUGUCUCACUUUUAUUUAAGAGUCCGCCCGGGGAAAGAGGAAAAAAAAAAUCCAGAGAAGAUCCGAGUGAAACGAAAAGAAAAAUAUUCAAAAGUGUGUCCACAGCGGAGAAAAAGGUGACAUUAAUUCUUUAUUUCUUCAGGAGCAAUUGAGCCUGAGAGCUCGCUCGCCCGCCUCCCUCCCUCCCUCCUUCCUCCCCCUCUCGAAAUUAGUCUCAUCAAUUCAGCUCCAAUUUUGGGUUCGAAUACAGACACGGGUCUGAACGAGACCAGACCUGGAGUGGCGGGUGCAGCCUGCCAGCAAUUGAGACUCCGUGUGCGUGGUGGUGGGGGGGGGGGGGGGGGGG
Molecule: long non-coding RNA, 1606 nt
Filed under: Marmota monax (woodchuck)
Lineage: Eukaryota; Metazoa; Chordata; Mammalia; Rodentia; Sciuridae
Source: RNAcentral